AGCAGCCGCGGUAAUUCCAGCUCCAAUAGCGUAUAUUAAAGUUGUUGCAGUUAAAAAAGCUCGUAGUUGAAUUUCGGAAUCGACGGAUUGGUCGCGCCUUUGGUGUGUACUGGUCUUGCCGGUUUCUCCCUUCUGACGAACCACGAUGUCAUUAAUUUGGUGUCGUGGGGAAUCAGGACUGUUACUUUGAAAAAAUUAGAGUGUUUAAAGCAGGCAUUAGCUUGAAUACAUUAGCAUGGAAUAAUGAAAUAGGACGUUUGAUCUUAUUUUGUUGGUUUCUAGGAUCGACGUAAUGAUUAAUAGGGAUAGUUGGGGGCACUAGUAUUCAAUUGUCAGAGGUGAAAUUCUUGGAUUUAUUGAAGACUAACUACUGCGAAAGCAUUUGCCAAGGAUGUUUUCAUUAAUCAAGAACGAAAGUUAGGGGAUCGAAGACGAUCAGAUACCGUCGUAGUCUUAACCAUAAACUAUGCCGACUAGGGAUCGGAUGAUGUUAAUUUUUAAUGACUCAUUCGGCGCCUUA
This 520-nucleotide ribosomal RNA is filed under the name uncultured Glomus. RNAcentral describes it as "SSU rRNA". It matches the Rfam family "Eukaryotic small subunit ribosomal RNA", at positions 569 to 1090 of the family's 1831-position model. Lineage: Eukaryota; Fungi; Glomeromycota; Glomeromycetes; Glomerales; Glomeraceae. The record is from RNAcentral.